Molecule: ribosomal RNA, 481 nt
Filed under: uncultured bacterium
Lineage: Bacteria
Description: partial 16S ribosomal RNA
Rfam family: Bacterial small subunit ribosomal RNA
Source: RNAcentral
GACGAACGCUGGCGGCGUGCUUAACACAUGCAAGUCGAGCGGAAAGGCCACUUCGGUGGUACUCGAGCGGCGAACGGGUGAGUAACACGUGAGUAAUCUGCCCCUGGCUUUGGGAUAGCCACCGGAAACGGUGAUUAAUACCGGAUACGACCACUUCUCGCAUGGGAUGGUGGUGGAAAGUUUUUUCGGCCAGGGAUGUGCUCGCGGCCUAUCAGCUUGAUGGUGAGGUAAUGGCUCACCAUGGCUUCGACGGGUAGCCGGCCUGAGAGGGUGACCGGUCACACUGGGACUGAGACACGGCCCAGACUCCUGCGGGAGGCAUCAGUGGGGAAUAUUUGACAAUGGGCGGAAGCCUGAUCCAGCAACGCCGCGUGAGGUAUGACGGCCUUCUGGUUGUAAACCUCUUUCAGCAGGGACGGAGCGCAAGUGACGGUACCUGCAGAAGAAGCACCGGCCAACUACGUGCCAGCCGCCGCCGUAA